UGCCAGCCGCCGCGGUAAUACGUAGGGUCCAAGCGUUAAUCGGAAUUACUGGGCGUAAAGCGUGCGCAGGCGGUUGUGCAAGACCGAUGUGAAAUCCCCGAGCUUAACUUGGGAAUUGCAUUGGUGACUGCACGGCUAGAGUGUGUCAGAGGGGGGUAGAAUUCCACGUGUAGCAGUGAAAUGCGUAGAGAUGUGGAGGAAUACCGAUGGCGAAGGCAGCCCCCUGGGAUAACACUGACGCUCAUGCACGAAAGCGUGGGGAGCAAACAGGAUUAGAUACCCUGGUAGUCCACGCCCUAAACGAUGUCAACUAGUUGUUGGGGAUUCAUUUCCUUAGUAACGUGGCUAACGCGUGAAGUUGACCGCCUGGGGAGUACGGUCGCAAGAUUAAAACUCAAAGGAAUUGACGGGGACCCGCACAAGCGGUGGAUGAUGUGGAUUAAUUCGAUGCAACGCGAAAAACCUUACCUACCCUUGACAUGCCACUAACGAAGCAGAGAUGCAUUAGGUGCUCGAAAGAGAAAGUGGACACAGGUGCUGCAUUGGCUUGUCGUCAAGCUUCGUGUCGUGAGAUGUUGGGUUAAGUCCCGCAACGAGCGCAACCCUUGUCUCUAGUUGCUACGAAAGGGCACUUCUAGAGAGACUGCCGUGACAAACCGGAGGAAGGUGGGGAUGACCGUCAAGUCCUCAUGGGCCUUAUGGUAGGGCUUCACACGUCAUACAUGGUGCAUACAGAGGGUUGCCAAGCCGGAGUGGAGCUAAUCCA
RNAcentral lists this ribosomal RNA (766 nucleotides) under Ralstonia pickettii. Its description in RNAcentral is "bacterial SSU rRNA". It matches the Rfam family "Bacterial small subunit ribosomal RNA", at positions 506 to 1275 of the family's 1533-position model. Lineage: Bacteria; Pseudomonadati; Pseudomonadota; Betaproteobacteria; Burkholderiales; Burkholderiaceae. The record is from RNAcentral.